Long non-coding RNA from Chelonia mydas (Green sea turtle), 1575 nucleotides. RefSeq lists it as uncharacterized. Lineage: Eukaryota; Metazoa; Chordata; Testudines; Cheloniidae. The record is from RefSeq and is a predicted model, not a curated record. The transcript is spliced from 14 exons.
CAUGCUGGUAGGAGUUACACUAAGUGCAACUGCUUCUGGAGCCCUCUUCAGUUAGAAAGAGAAGGAUUCCAUAGUGUGGAAGCAGCGCAAAUUACUGAAGACUCUUCCUGCAUUCUCUUUAAGUGCCUGGCUAACAUUAGGACCUUGAUUAAAAUGACCUGACUGAAGUUCAAUCCAGAUGUAGUUCUUCAAGGUCACGUUGAUCUUUCAAACCUUGCAUGAUGUUUAUCCUACACACCAGAGAAAUCAUCAUCUAUCUCCAUGAAAACCAUCUUUACAGAGGUGGGACUACCCUUCACUGCCACUGAUUGACAAGGCUGGUCAUCUUCCAUGGCUGCAGAGAGCAGAGACCCAGUGUCUGAACCUUAUUACUCCAAGAAAGGAAACUUAAGGAAGUAUCUCUUUAUCCCUGUUAACCUGACAAGAAUGGAAAUGUGAAAUCACCCAGUACUAAAUGUGAAUAAAGGUUCAGAUGAACCCAAAAUACAAAGUGAAACUGGAGUGGUACCAACCAAAACAAACUGAAAUCAAAGGAAGUGUUCAUAAAACCCCAGAUCAUCACACCCAGAAAUGGUGUACCUACAGCUAUGAAUUUCUGGGGAUAUCCUAAUGGAAAUCUGAGACAACCGGGAGUAACACAGAUGAGAUUUUCUCAUUAGUGAAAUCCUCUUCUUUAUGCUAAAAGGAAGGGAGUCAGAGAUGGACUCAUUGGGAGCAUACACAAUUCAGAAGAGUUGAGAGAGAUCUCAAAAUGACUGACAAAUGAAGAUAAAAACCAUCACCCCAUUUUGAAGAAGAGGAAAAUGAGGAAUUAGAUGCUGUCUAUUCAUCAAAAGUUUUUACAACAAAACUCUGUCAGCAACAAGCCUGAGAGGCAGAUGGAGGAGAUGGAAAGAACCAAGACAGCAGACUUGUCUUUGGGAUCCAAGAGCAGAGGGAGAGAUCAGAAGAGAAGAAAUAUCCCAUUCUACACCUUAUUCUCCUGUUAAAGGCAAAUCCCUGUGAACAGAAGAUGCUGCUUCUCUCACUAUACCUUCUCCUAAUGAUGACAAGGAAAUCAGAAAGGGGAGGGGUGGUAUUGUUGGCUCCUUGGUGUCUUUGCCACCCAUGAUUCUUUGGUGAACCAAGCUUAGACUCUGUUUUAAUCUCCCCACCUACAAUUAAGUGCCAGGAAAUUGAAAAGAGCUGUUUCAUAGCUGAGUAUCUCUUCACAAAGGUUGCAGAUUGCCUGAUUAGAAGCAGAAGGACUUCCACAUCAUUGACCUAUUCCUGUACGGAAGCCCUUCACUAGAUGACCAGUAGAAUAGGACAGCAGAAGGAGACUAUGACAAAUACAAUUACUGGUCUGUAACAUCCAGACUUGCCAGUACUUGUUUGGUAUUAUGGACCAGCAUGCACUCAGCUGGUCACAUCACAACCACCACUAAACCCUCAUUAGGGACCAGUGCAGCGCUACACAAGAAGGUGAAACAGAGAGUCACGAUGGGUUUAGUCAUGGGAAGGGAGGAGGCUACCUACUUCCUCCUGGCAUCACCCUGGUCGGGGUAUUGUAAACACUGUACACAACAGUGAAUG